AAUUGAACAAGAGUUCCGCGGUCGGAGAUGACCGCAUUGAAGCCGGAUUUUUGAUUUAAAUGACAGGAAAGUACCUUUCGUGUUUUUGUCAAUGCAAUACUUAAAUUACUGAAAUAUUGUUCAAAGGUCAAAAUGAAAUGUAAGUACUUUUCAAGGCAUGAGCAAACCUUGUGUUAUGUUUUGAAUGCAUGCAUAUACAUGAACAACAAUAACAUUUAAGGUCACAGUGACCUUGACCUUAGAAUGAAUGACCUUGAAAUGACCAGUGGUCAUCUAAGUGUGCUUGCAAACCUUCA
This is a long non-coding RNA of Dreissena polymorpha, 296 nucleotides long. RefSeq lists it as uncharacterized. Lineage: Eukaryota; Metazoa; Mollusca; Bivalvia; Myida; Dreissenidae. The record is from RefSeq and is a predicted model, not a curated record. The transcript has 2 exons.